UCAUCGAAAAAUGAACGUAUAACGGACAUAUGCGACAAAUAAAAAACCAGUGCAGUGAAGAAGCAACGGAUUCUUAUUGUUCUCCUUGGCUUUUCUCGACUUGUAUCGGAGCCAGUUGUUCUUCGAAACUAAUUGACCAUCGGUUAACUUACCUCGUUAGCCAACGUCCCAAUACUUGCAAAACGGGCGUGCGGUUGAAUCAUAAAAGCGACGUGCCCAUCUGUUGCAUCGAAAAGGAAUAAAGAAGGCGUGAAGAGACACGAGCCAUCUUGUCACCGAUUACGAAAGGAGGAAAUUAUUACGCGUCCCCAUCGCGUUGUAAAAUGUCAUCGAGAAUCGUCGAAAAACCCAUUUCAAACUCAUUCUCUUUCGAUUCUUUGGGGUUUAUAAAAA
Long non-coding RNA from Apis florea (little honeybee), 393 nucleotides. RefSeq lists it as uncharacterized. Lineage: Eukaryota; Metazoa; Arthropoda; Insecta; Hymenoptera; Apidae. The record is from RefSeq and is a predicted model, not a curated record.